Molecule: transfer RNA, 70 nt
Filed under: Phycisphaerae bacterium
Lineage: Bacteria; Pseudomonadati; Planctomycetota; Phycisphaerae
Description: tRNA-Ser
Rfam family: tRNA
About the family: Transfer RNA (tRNA) molecules are approximately 80 nucleotides in length. Their secondary structure includes four short double-helical elements and three loops (D, anti-codon, and T loops).
Source: RNAcentral
GCGAGCGAUGGAACUCGGUUCGUUCAGCCUUCCAAGCUGAAUGUUGUGGGUUCGACUCCCAUCGCCCGCU